This 832-nucleotide ribosomal RNA is filed under the name uncultured bacterium. RNAcentral's name for it is "bacterial SSU rRNA". It matches the Rfam family "Bacterial small subunit ribosomal RNA", at positions 56 to 902 of the family's 1533-position model. The record is from RNAcentral.
UGCAAGUCGAGCGGUAAGGCCCUUCGGGGUACACGAGCGGCGAACGGGUGAGUAACACGUGGGUGACCUGCCCUCCACUCUGGGAUAAGCCUGGGAAACUGGGUCUAAUACCGGAUAUGACCACAUAUCGCAUGGUGUGUGGUGGAAAGCUUUACGUGGUGGGGGAUGGACCCGCGGCCUAUCAGCUUGUUGGUGGGGUAAUGGCCUACCAAGGCGACGACGGGUAGCCGGCCUGAGAGGGCGACCGGCCACACUGGGACUGAGACACGGCCCAGACUCCUACGGGAGGCAGCAGUGGGGAAUAUUGCACAAUGGGCGAAAGCCUGAUGCAGCGACGCCGCGUGAGGGAUGACGGCCUUCGGGUUGUAAACCUCUUUCAGCAGGGACGAAGCGAGAGUGACGGUACCUGCAGAAGAAGCACCGGCCAACUACGUGCCAGCAGCCGCGGUAAUACGUAGGGUGCGAGCGUUGUCCGGAAUUACUGGGCGUAAAGAGCUCGUAGGCGGUUUGUCACGUCGGCUGUGAAAACCCAUCGCUCAACGGUGGGCUUGCAGUCGAUACGGGCUGACUUGAGUACUGCAGGGGAGACUGGAAUUCCUGGUGUAGCGGUGAAAUGCGCAGAUAUCAGGAGGAACACCGGUGGCGAAGGCGGGUCUCUGGGCAGUAACUGACGCUGAGGAGCGAAAGCGUGGGUAGCGAACAGGAUUAGAUACCCUGGUAGUCCACGCCGUAAACGGUGGGUGCUAGGUGUGGGUUUCCUUCCACGGGAUCCGUGCCGUAGCUAACGCAUUAAGCACCCCGCCUGGGGAGUACGGCCGCAAGGCUAAAACUC